Molecule: long non-coding RNA, 5301 nt
Filed under: Piliocolobus tephrosceles (Ugandan red Colobus)
Lineage: Eukaryota; Metazoa; Chordata; Mammalia; Primates; Cercopithecidae
Description: lncRNA (ENSPTEG00000006649.1)
Source: RNAcentral
AAAAAAAAAAGGAAUAAAAAUGGAAUAUAUCAUAAACAGUCAGAAUAUAAAUUUGUUAAACAGUGAAAGGGAUAUUUUAGGAAGAAACAAAAUAAACGCUGAAUUAUUUUUUUUUGAAGUGUUAAAUGUGAUAAUUAACAAUCAAGAAAAAAGAAAUAGUAACAAUUAUAACAGUUGCAAUAGUCACAAAUACAAUAGCAAUAACGGUGCUUUCAAAAAUGAUGAAUAUGUAAACUAUAACAUAUUUUGUGAAGGUGUUUUUUCUUCAUUAAUAAAAAAAAAUGUAUGUUUUUUUCAUGAAGAGAGUAAAAAUGGUUUAUUAAACAUUAGUAAUGAUAAUGUUGGAACGAAUAAUGGUAAUGACAACCUCUUAAAAAAUAAAACAAACAACCAUUAUAAUGUAAUAAAAAGAGAUAAAAAUAGAAAUAUAGAUAAUAGCACAUCGAAAUGGAGCUCUAACUUAGAACAUGUAUAUUGUAAUAAUAGUAGAAAUAAAAAACUAGAACUUCAAUUAAAUAACAAAACAGAAUCUAAUUUUUGUAUGUAUAUUUCUAAUUCAUGUUAUUAUGAUAAAAAUGUAGAUAACAUUAUACUAAAUAAUUGUAUAGAAGAAGAAGAAGAAGAAGAAGAAAAAAAAAAAAAGACGAAUGAAUAUAGGAACUUAAACUAUAAUAGUUCAACUGCUUGCACUACUAAUAAAAAAAAAUAUUUUCAAAAUUGUACUAAUAUGAAUAAAAAAACAUUUGACAGUUUAAAAAAAAAAAAAAAAAAAAGCAACAGUUUGUAUGAUGUUAAUAGUAUGGUGAAUCUUCAUAAUAUAAAUAAAAAUGAUUACGUUGUUAUAAAUAGAGAUGAUAAAUAUGAUUGUGAUAAACAAAACAAAGAUGCUUUAAAAAGUAUUAACGAAAAAAAAAAAAAAAUAAAUAAUAAUAAUAAUAAUAACUUGGGUACGAACAAUGGAAGUAAGAACAUUUAUAAUAACAUAUUGGAGUGUGUUAAAAAAUGUACCGAUAGUGGUAGUAGCAGUAAUAAUACUAAUAAUAACAAUAAUAAUAGUAAAGGUAGCAAAGAAAAAGCAUAUGAUAAUUCAGUUCAUAAACAUGGCAAUAGUUGUGAUGGUAAUGGAAGUGAUGAAAAUUGUGGUGGUAACAGUGGCGGUAAUAGUAGCGGUAAUAGCAGUGGUAAUAGCGGUGGUAACGAUGAUGGGAAUGACAAAAAUAGAGAUGAAGAAAAAGAUGAAGAAAAAGAUGAAGAUGAAGAAAAAGAUGAAGAAAAAGAUGAAGAAAAAGAUGAAGAUGAAGAAAAAGAUGAAGAUAGAAAAAAAGAUGAAGAUGGAAAAAAAAACGAAGAUGGAAAAAAAAACGAAGAUGAAGAAAAAAAUGAAGAUGGAAAAAAAAACGAAGAUGAAGAAAAAGAUGAAGAUGAAGAAAAAAAUGAAGAUGAAGAAAAAAAUGAAGACGAAGAAAAAAAUGAAGAUGAAAAAAAAAAUGAAGAUGAAGAAAAAAAUGAAGAUGAAGAAAAGGACUCAACUAAAAAAGCAAGUGAUAAUGAAUCCAAUAGUAGAAACCAUAAAAAUAAUAGUAACAAUAUAAAUUAUGGUGAGUGUUCUAUAAGCAUAAAUGAUUACAAAAUUGACAAUGUUGCUACUAGUGGUAUUACUAAAAUAGAAAACAUCAACAGUUUCAAAGAAGGUAUAGAAAUAGGUAAUAGUGAAAAUAUAAUAAAAAAUGGUGUUACGAACAAUUACAAUAAUAUUAAUAAUAACAUUUUUAUUAAUAAUAAAACAAAUGGUUAUACUAACACUAAUAUGAAUGGAGUAAUAAAAUGUUUCGAACAAGAUCAGAUUUUAAAUGAACAACAAAAAAAAAUAUUAUUAAAUAAUAGUAAACUAUCUGAACAUAUACAAUUAAGCAUGAAUAUGCAAAAUAAAAUAGCUUUUCAGGACAUAAAUGGCUGUAAAAAUAAUAUGGAUAACAUAAAUGGUAGCAAUUGUGAUAUAUCAAAUUUGAAUUGUGCUAAUAGCAUGAAUUGUGGUAAUAACAUGAAUUGUGCUAAUAACAUGAAUUGUGCUAAUAACAUGAAUUGUGGUAAUAACAUGAAUUGUGGUAAUAACAUGAAUUGUGGUAAUAACAUGAAUUGUGGUAAUAACAUGAAUUGUGGUAAUAAUGUUGCUAAUACCGCUGUUAAUACGAUGACACAAUAUAAUAAUACAAAGAAUAAUGAUGUUGUAUCAUCAAUAAAUAAAAAUAUAAAUAAUACCGUUUCAUAUUAUAACAAUAAAAAUACAUCCAUACCAUCCGAAAUGGCAACUAAUAUAAAUAAUGUAAACAGUAUUACUAGUAUGUCUAACAAACUACACAGGAUAAAUAAACAAAACGAAAUAGUCAUGUCAGUGGGUAUAAAUGGUAACACGACAGACCCGUCUAUGAUAAAUACUGAUGUUGCUACUAAUACAUGUACAACUAAUGUUACAAUAAAUAAUACUAACACCAGUGCCACCGAUAGCAAUAGUAAUAGUAAUACUGUUAUAAAAGAAAGUAUUAACGAACAUUUUCACCCAGUUAAUAAAAAACAAAAAACAGAUAGACGUAGUUCUGCAGAUAUUAAUACAAAACAUGAUGGCGACGAAACUAAUGGCACCGUCAUGACUAAUAGUAUACCUGUUAGUGUUAAUUCACCUGUUAAUAAUAUGGGGAAUGUGUAUCACAUAAGUGGGGUAAAUGGUGCUACUGCUAUUUCAUCUAACACAUUGAAUAAUGUAAUGAUGUCAAGAAUAAAUACUAUAAAUAUACCAAAGAAUUUAACUGCGACCUACAAUACAAUGAAUGUGCCUUUAAACAACAAUAUGCCUUCUUAUAAUAUACGUGUAGCAUCAUCAUCACAGCUACCGACAUUACCACCACGUUCGCAAUUACCUACCGAGUAUAAUAACAUUGUUAAUGGUAAUAGUAAUAUUAAUGGUAAUAAUAAUAGUAAUAGUAAUAGUAGUAAUAAUAGUAAUAGUAAUAGUAAUAGUAGUAAUAAUAAUAGUAAUGGUAAUAGUAAUAAUAAUAAUAAUAGUAAUAGUAGUAGUAGUAAUAAUAAUAGUAGUAAUAAUAAUAAUAGUAAUAGUAGUACUAAUACUAUUAAUGAUAACAACAGUAAUAGCAGUAGUACUAAUAUUAUUAAUGAUAACAACAGUAAUAAUAGCAACAGUAACACUAGAGUUAGUAGUAACAAUAACAAUAGGAUUAGUGGUAAUAACAGUAUGAUUAAUCCGAUGACUGCUUGUGGUAAUAGUUUUAUCCAUAACGGUACAGUAAAUAUUUUACCUAAUAAUACAAACAUAUCUAUUAAUGAUACACAUAACGGUAUUAUGAACAAUGUAGUUACUAAUCCUAUAUACAAUAAUAUGAUUAUGAAUAAUAAUGUAAAUGAUAAUAUGCAUGGUAUUUUAUAUAAUAACAUGUACAACAAUAUGCAUACAAAUAUGUAUAACAAUAUGCAUAAUAACAUAUAUAACAAUAUACAUAAUAAUAUAUAUAACAACAUGCAUAAUAAUAUGUACAACCAUAUGCAUAAUAAUAUGUACAAUAAUAUGCAUAAUACCAUGCAUAGUAAUAUACGUAAUAACAUACACAACAACCUUGCUAACAAUAUUAUUAUAAAUCCAAAUGGAGGUUAUAAUCAAUUUUAUACUUAUAAUAAUAGUAAUAAUAAUAAUAAUAAUAAUAAUAAUAAUAACCUUAAUAAAAAUAUAUAUAUAAAAAAUAUAAAUAAUAAUAGGAAUACCAAAGAUGGAAUAAUAAGAAGUGAAAACUUAAAUGGUUAUGAAGGUAUAACAACAGAUAAUAUUAUAAAUAGUGUUAAAGUUGAUACUAAUAAAUUUAUGAAUGUUGGUAGUAUUAUUGGUGGUAUUACUAAUUUAAAUAACUGUAUUAAUAGUAAUGAACGUAUUGGUAAUAAUAUCCGUAUUGUUAGUAACAACAGUAGCAAUCUUACUACUACUACUACUACUACUACUUCUACUCCUAAUAAUAAUAAUAACAAUAAUAGUGGUAGUGGUAGUAGUAGUAGUGGUAAUAAUAUUAUAAAAAAUAUACGUAUUGAAAAUUUACAAACUAAUUAUGACAAUACCAUUAAUUUAAAAGAUAUUAAUGGAGUAGACAUUAGCUCUUUUUUUAUUAAUAAAAAAUAUUGUUCGAAAUUAAAAAAAAAUGAAAGAAUAUUUAACAUAGUAUAUUUUUUGGUUAAUAACUCUUUGCAUAAUCAUUCCAUUAGUAUAGUAAAAAAUGAAUCGGAUGAGUAUGAAUGUAAAGUGGUAGUAGAUAAUAAUAAUUCUGUACAAAUAAAAAUGGAAGAAGAAAAUGGGGAAGAAAAUGGGGAAGAAAAUGGGGAAGAAAAUGGGGAAGAAAAUGGGGAAGAAAAUGGCGAAGAAAAUGGGGAAGAAAAUGGCGAAGAAAAUGGGGAAGAAAAUGGCGAAGAAAAUGGGGAAGGACCGAGUCAUUACAAUUUGGUAAAAAGAAAUUCGAAACAAGUUGAGGUUUAUGAUGAAAAGGUUUAUGAAAGUGGUAAUACGACUGCUACAUGUGGUAUUCCUGAUACGGAUGAUUUAAAUGGCGGAUGUGAUGACGAGGGUGAGAAUGGACAUAAUUAUAAAAAUAAUAAAAUCGAGAGUGAAAAAUCUGAUAAGAAAAAUGUGAGAUUGAAAAAAGAGGAUUACAACAGUAGUAAUACCAAUUUCAACAAUAGCAGUAAUACUGAUACGAAUUCACAUUUAAACGAAAAAAAUAAAGAAUUCCAUAAAAAUAUAAAUAAAGAAAAUAAAAAAUGUGACACAUUGGAUGUAGAAACUGAAAGUAACAGUCAUAGUCAUAGUGAAUGUGCAGAAGAAAAAAGGAACUCUGUAGAAAGAAAUGAAGCUAAUAAUGGACAUAUUGAAAAAAUAGAAAAAGGUAUAAGUUUAUUUAAAAAAGCAGAUCGUGAAAUUAUAUGUUCACAAUAUAAUUUUUCUAAUACAAGCGAAGAAGAAGAAGAAGAAGAAGAUACAAUUACAGGUAGAGUAGGUAGAGUAGGAAGAGUAGAAAAAGGAGUAGAUGAAGUGGAAGAUAGUGAUGACAAAAAAAAAAAAAAAAAGAAAAAAAAGAAAAAAAAAAGCAACAUUAAUACAAAUAACAAAAAGUAUAUGUUCCAUUAUUAAUAUACAACAAUUACCUCCUGUAAAUGUACGCUUAAAUAACCCCAACUUAAUAUAUGACCCUAAUUACGAAAUUAUACAUUCAAAAUGGAAAUCUUUUAUACGAAAAGAACAUACAACUGGUC